RNAcentral lists this ribosomal RNA (207 nucleotides) under uncultured bacterium. RNAcentral's name for it is "partial 16S ribosomal RNA". It matches the Rfam family "Bacterial small subunit ribosomal RNA", at positions 568 to 774 of the family's 1533-position model. The record is from RNAcentral.
UCCGUAGGUGGAUAAUUAAGUCAGAGGUGAAAGUCUGCAGCUCAACUGUAGAAUUGCCUUUGAUACUGGUUGUCUUGAGUUAUUAUGAAGUAGUUAGAAUAUGUAGUGUAGCGGUGAAAUGCAUAGAUAUUACAUAGAAUACCAAUUGCGAAGGCAGAUUACUAAUAAUAUACUGACACUGAUGGACGAAAGCGUGGGGAGCGAACA